CUUCCUUCCCCACAGCAUCCAAGGACCAAGGGUGGCCCCACCUAAGGGGAUGAGGUGAAGAGUGGUGGUGCUUUGGCAAGUUCAAUACAAAGAAAUAUUGUGCUGGCAUUCUCAUGGUGUAGAUGACCUCAGGACUGAACUGUACAAGGGAAAAAUAGGUCUCUGACUGGAAUGAACAUUUUCUUGAAUCAGCUAUAUAGAGAGAGAGGACUAGGUGUGACCCCACCUAGCAGCCUGGACACUUUGUAACUUAGCAACUGAUGACCUGAAGGUCUACCCCAACUUGGAAGCCAGCCGGUUUUGGCCAGUGGGAGAACAAAAGGCUGAAGAGAGAGCCACCAAGUGAUCUAUUUGCCCAGAAAAGAAGACAAGGAUGGAGGAGGGGUUUUUGGGGAGGUGAUAUAG
Long non-coding RNA from Dermochelys coriacea (leatherback sea turtle), 405 nucleotides. RefSeq lists it as uncharacterized. The transcript has 3 exons. The record is from RefSeq and is a predicted model, not a curated record. NCBI's taxonomy places the organism in Eukaryota, Metazoa, Chordata, Testudines, Dermochelyidae.